UUUAUGGAGAGUUUGAUCCUGGCUCAGGAUGAACGCUGGCGGCGUGCCUAAUACAUGCAAGUCGAGCGAACAGAUAAGGAGCUUGCUCCUUUGACGUUAGCGGCGGACGGGUGAGUAACACGUGGGCAACCUACCUAUAAGACUGGAAUAACUCCGGGAAACCGGGGCUAAUGCCGGAUAACAUGUUGAACCGCAUGGUUCUACAGUGAAAGACGGUCUU
Molecule: ribosomal RNA, 220 nt
Filed under: Staphylococcus pseudintermedius
Lineage: Bacteria; Bacillati; Bacillota; Bacilli; Caryophanales; Staphylococcaceae
Description: partial 16S ribosomal RNA
Rfam family: Bacterial small subunit ribosomal RNA
Source: RNAcentral